GACGAACGCUGGCGGCGUGCUUAACACAUGCAAGUCGAACGGAAAGGCCCUGCUUUUGUGGGGUGCUCGAGUGGCGAACGGGUGAGCAACACGUGAGUAACCUGCCCUUGACUUUGGGAUAACUUCAGGAAACUGGGGCUAAUACCGGAUAGGAGCUCCUGCUGCAUGGUGGGGGUUGGAAAGUUUCGGCGGUUGGGGAUGGACUCGCGGCUUAUCAGCUUGUUGGUGGGGUAGUGGCUUACCAAGGCUUUGACGGGUAGCCGGCCUGAGAGGGUGACCGGCCACAUUGGGACUGAGAUACGGCCCAGACUCCUACGGGAGGCAGCAGUGGGGAAUAUUGCACAAUGGGCGGAAGCCUGAUGCAGCAACGCCGCGUGCGGGAUGACGGCCUUCGGGUUGUAAACCGCUUUCGCCUGUGACGAAGCGUGAGUGACGGUAAUGGGUAAAGAAGCACCGGCUAACUACGUGCCAGCAGCCGCGGUGAUACGUAGGGUGCGAGCGUUGUCCGGAUUUAUUGGGCGUAAAGGGCUCGUAGGUGGUUGAUCGCGUCGGAAGUGUAAUCUUGGGGCUUAACCCUGAGCGUGCUUUCGAUACGGGUUGACUUGAGGAAGGUAGGGGAGAAUGGAAUUCCUGGUGGAGCGGUGGAAUGCGCAGAUAUCAGGAGGAACACCAGUGGCGAAGGCGGUUCUCUGGGCCUUUCCUGACGCUGAGGAGCGAAAGCGUGGGGAGCGAACAGGCUUAGAUACCCUGGUAGUCCACGCUGUAAACGGUGGGUACUAGGUGUGGGGUCCAUUCCACGGGUUCCGUGCCGUAGCUAACGCUUUAAGUACCCCGCCUGGGGAGUACGGCCGCAAGGCUAAAACUCAAAGGAAUUGACGGGGCCCCGCACAAGCGGCGGAGCAUGCGGAUUAAUUCGAUGCAACGCGUAGAACCUUACCUGGGUUUGACAUGGAUCGGGAGCGCUCAGAGAUGGGUGUGCCUCUUUUGGGGUCGGUUCACAGGUGGUGCAUGGCUGUCGUCAGCUCGUGUCGUGAGAUGUUGGGUUAAGUCCCGCAACGAGCGCAACCCUUGUUCACUGUUGCCAGCACGUUAUGGUGGGGACUCAGUGGAGACCGCCGGGGUCAACUCGGAGGAAGGUGGGGAUGACGUCAAGUCAUCAUGCCCCUUAUGUCCAGGGCUUCACGCAUGCUACAAUGGCUGGUACAGAGAGUGGCGAGCCUGUGAGGGUGAGCGAAUCUCGGAAAGCCGGUCUCAGUUCGGAUUGGGGUCUGCAACUCGACCUCAUGAAGUCGGAGUCGCUAGUAAUCGCAGAUCAGCAACGCUGCGGUGAAUACGUUCCCGGGGCU
Molecule: ribosomal RNA, 1346 nt
Filed under: uncultured bacterium
Lineage: Bacteria
Description: bacterial SSU rRNA
Rfam family: Bacterial small subunit ribosomal RNA
Source: RNAcentral